GGAAAGCAGAGACCAGCUCAGGACUCAUGAUACCUUUGCCCUAACCUCAAGGCCUUAUCCAGUCUUACCCUUCAUCCCACAAACAACUGGCCAUCAACUGGGCGAUUUUCUUGCCUCUGCUCCCCCAUGGGAAAUGCCAGCCGACUGUAAACGCCCAUGCCCUGAGAGCCUGGCAAGCUGCAUGGCACUUACGUCUGCUGUCUCUGGGAAACAGCACUGACUCCAGAGUUUGCGAGGCGAUCAAGUCGAAGAGCUGAAGAACGGCCUCAAGAUCUUUUUGCCCAGAGCGCCCUCUGGUGGCCAACUGGAUGGCAACCAUUCUCCUUCACUGUGUGAGAUGCUAAGUGGUUGGAGCCAGAGUCUUGUUUUCACUGUUCCUCUUGGGACUUGCUCCUCCCCAGUUAAUGCGCUCUGGUGUCCACUCUGUACAACACAUAUUUACUUCUUACUGCAUCCCUGGAAUAACUGACUCCCGGCCAAUAUUGUUUCUCUGUAUGAGUCACACUGAGACUGGAGCUGAGGGAACUCAAGACAACAAGGCACGGUUCACGCCCCUGAGGAAUUGCCCACUUUCCAGGAGAGAGCCGGACCAGUCCCUGGGCGUCUUCCAACAGACCUCCCCUCUCUCCCCGUGCCACGUCUCCUACGGUUCCUCGGGCGCCCACCCCUCGUGCCCUCCACCCUGCAUUGACCAGCUGGAUUCCUGAAACCUGCAUUGGCCUGUGUACAGUUUGGGCACUGUCUGAAUCAAUAACGGGAAAACGGUUCCUGAACAGGAGCAGCGGGGAAUUAGAAAAAUCUAACGAAGCCUGAUUGUAAAGUCCUGGAAGGGAGACAAAAAGGGGCCUUUCCUAUGGGUCGAAUGGGACCUACAGAGAGGGUGACUCCCGGAGAAUUCAGAGGAGGGAACAAAGAGUUCACUCUGGGGCCAUGGUGGCAGGUAGCGGUUAGAAGCUGGAGAAAGGAGGGAAUGGAACUCCAAUGGCAAUGACAAUAACUUCCUGACAAGAAUGACAGGAGGAAGCUGGGAGCAAAGACAGGAGUGCUUGGGGCAUGUUUGAAGGAGGGCUCUUGGCUUAUCUUACCUGGAUUGGAGGGUUGAGGUAUAUUUGUCUUUUACGAGGCCUAAAGAUGGUUUUUCUUAGGGCAGAGGGGAGCCAUUGAGGGUUAGGGACCAGGAGAGUGGCGUGAUGAAAGGUAUCUUGGCAUAGAUCCAUAAACAAAUGUUUCCUUCCCACACUGGUUUCUGUGACAAGGCCUCAGACUGCGGUUCCUGCAGGAGCCCCAUGUGCCUGCCUGGGUACCACCCCUGCAGGUAGGAGCUGCUCUCCUGCCCUCAGUGUCCCCCUGCAGUUUUCAGCCUUUCUGCUACUCGAGCGAGUGAGGAAGCUGGCCACGGACCUCACCCAGAGAGAGUGAACUUGAGGCCAGCUGGACACUUGAGGGAAGGAGACCAGCCAUGGAACAGGGGUGUGGGUCCCAGGCCUCUUGGGCUUUACCUGAAUCUGCCACCUGCCAGCUGAGGGGUCUUUAAGCAAACCCUGUGUCCUCUCGGUCUUGGGGACCUGCUGGCAGCCAUGCCACCCUCUCCCUGUCACCCAAGCAGCUUGGCCUUUCACUUGGGUUCCAGAUGCAAAUGCAGAGUUUGCUGGAGACUUGGUGUUCUCUGAGAAGCUAAAGUGGGCCACAGUGCUCAGAUGUCCAAGUCAGUCUAUUCCUAUAAUUAAAAAACAAUGAUAACAAUAAUCAUAGCAUCUACUGAGCAAGUACUACAUACAAGGCACUCUGCUAAGCCCUCUAAAUACACAAGCUAUUUUCAUCCUUACAAUAAACCUGUGAUGUAGGUAUUAUGAUGCCCACUUUGGAGAUGAGGUUAAUGAAGGUGAAGUGACUUGUCCGAGAAAGUCCCAAAAUUGGGAUUUGAAUCCUCUAACUCCAGAACCCAAGUCCUCAGCCCCUGUGGCAGUGAUUCUAAAGGGUCCACCCUCCACCCUUCACGCAGGCUGAGCUCCAUUUGUCCAUGUGUACAGCCUGCUGGGCCACAUGCACAGGUCUGCUGACUCUCCUCCAGCUGUAGCCUGGCUUCACACCUUCCUGGAUAAAUAAUGCCACAGCUGCAAAAACCUAACAGCCAAGUUCAGCUGUGGGUGGAAAGCACACUUUAGUGGCUGGAGCCCAGAGGUGGCUUCCAUUUGUCCCGAGUAUUUGAGGUGGCUGUGGGGAGCAUGGAAGAAGGCCAAAGCAGAAGGUGUUUGGUAAGGAAUGCUAUUAUUUCUCCUUCGAGAGAUUCAUUUGCUCAGGGAACAAUUCACGAUUAUUUGCAAUUGGCAUCUAGUUUCUAUGCAAAAGAGAGGCAGAAAACGGCAGAGUGGUCUCUGAAGCUAACAGUCCUGAUGCUCGUCUUGGCUCUCCUUCUCCCUAGUUGGGUCAACUUGGGCAAAUCACUUCACCUCUCUGAGACUCAGUUUCCUCGUGUGUUAAAUGGGUAUGCUACAGAACCACUUCAUAGAUCGAGCGAGAUGAUCCCUAAUAGAUCCUUAACACAGGGGCUCAGCAAGCGGGAGCUAUUAUUAAUAAAAUAGAUGCAC
Equus caballus (horse) is the source of this 2588-nucleotide long non-coding RNA. Lineage: Eukaryota; Metazoa; Chordata; Mammalia; Perissodactyla; Equidae. The record is from Ensembl.